GACUACUGGGGUAGCACGCGCGAAUCUUAGCGUAGUGCGAAAGCAAGUCAAGGAUAAUCCGACGACUAGCUACUAAAUCACAGUCCGUGCCUCUAGCAGACAGCUGCGCUACCUAU
RNAcentral lists this ribosomal RNA (116 nucleotides) under uncultured archaeon. Its description in RNAcentral is "partial 16S ribosomal RNA". The record is from RNAcentral.